Molecule: long non-coding RNA, 7226 nt
Filed under: Nicotiana tabacum (common tobacco)
Lineage: Eukaryota; Viridiplantae; Streptophyta; Magnoliopsida; Solanales; Solanaceae
Description: long non-coding RNA (NTAB_LNC005033)
Source: RNAcentral
GAGAUGCAACUCUCUCAAUGAUGGAAACAAUGCUAAAUCUGGUAAUGGCCCUCUCAUUUGGUUAUCAGACAAGUCUAGAUACUCAAGGCUCGAAACUUGUCCAAAUCUUUCCAUGAAAAAACCAUUCAGCACAUUUUUCUGCAGGUAUAAUCUCUUUAAGGCUGAAAAUCUUGUGACAUUAACCAAUGAACCAAACAUUGAGUUGUCGUUCAACCCCAAAACCUCAAGUGUUUUCCUACUGCCUGAUAACCUGAGAAACAACUCAGGAAGCCAUUGGUAUGUCCGAGUGUCAGACAUGUCCAGAUAACGUAAACGUGUCAAAUUGCCAAAAGAACUUGGAAUCCCACCUUUAAGAUUAAACUCAUUUGCAAGAUUAAGAUGUUCAAGAUGCAUCAAGUUCCCAAAUCGAUCAUCAAUUUGACCGUCUAGCUGAUUAUUGGAGAGGUCUAUACUAGUUAAGCUUGUGCUAAAAUUGAAUAACCAGCUAUAUUUAGCUGAAGAAGAAAACUCAUUACAACAUAAAUGAAGAACAGAAAGAGAGAUCAAAGAAGAAUUGGCUAUUUCAGCUGGAGAUGGAACCAAUUUAGAGAGUCCACAAAGACUCAAGUCAAGUUCUUUCAAUAAAGGGAGCUUAGUUAUCUCUUGAAACCAAUUCUUUACUUGGAAGUCACUACCACCUAGACUCAAUAACUCUAGAGAAGAGAGAUGAGAAAGCCAUCUAAGGUCCUUUACUAUAAGAUUAUUAUAUCCAAGAUCAAGAAUCCUCAAUGAAGUUAGAUUCUUGAACUGUGUAGGAAUUAAACCAGAAAGAAAGGAAGAUGAGAGGUUCAAAUACUCUAGUCUCUUAAAGGAGCAUAUGAAUCUUGGUAUUUCACUUCUUUCAAAAUCAUUCACACUAAGGUCCAAGAAAUUCAAAUACUCCAACUCAAGUAAAGAAGGACUAAGUUUACCUGUCAAUCUUGGAGCAAAACAAGCACUAGCAGAACAAGUAAAGGCAUUGUGAAGAUCAAGAACAAUUACAUGACCAGUUGUUUUGUUACAUUCAAUACCUUUCCAUUUGCAGCAUUCUUUUUUAUCUUCUUCAUCACCCCAUGUUGAUAAUUGACCAAAAUUAUCAUUAAGGCCUCUUUUGAACUCAAGAAGAGCAUCUCUCUCCUUUUCUAUACACAGAGUCAAUCCAAAAGCUGCUUGUAGGAGCAGUAAAGACAAAGUAACAAGGAAAUGAGCUGAACUUGGAUAUUCCCUUUUGCCCAUUGUUCAAGAAGCAACUAAAUGUUAUGUGUUUUUUUUUUCUUUUCUUUUUGAAAUCUUUAGCUUAUCCUGAACUAACUUUCAAGAAUGUGCAAGGAAAUGUAUGUAGGUGUCUUGCUAGGAAAUUUAAUGCUCGACUAUCCGAGUAAUAUGUUGUCUUCAAACCCAAUUUGAAGAUUAGAAAAGGACUAUUCAGGAAUAAAUUAUACUACAGAUUUUAUUAAAUAUUUGAUAUAAGAAACAAGUGGCCCCACCUUGAGAAGAAAAAGAUCAAAAGAGAAAUGAUUGAUUACAUCUGAUUUUCUCCGAUAAGCAAGUUGUAGUACUGGAGAUGAGUCAAGAAAGACGGGCUAGUUGAGUUUGUACCAAAAUACUGUAAUAAGAAAAGGAAAAUGUGAGAGGCAGUGGAAUUGGAAGAUACUAAGGAAAGCCAUCUUGGAAAUGGAUUUGGAUGUAAUUGGGUAUAAUUAUACAAUUUGACAUGUUUAUUUGGCCAAGUAAUUACUUGGUCAGCAUGAAAUUGAGUGUAAUUACACUCUCCAACUCUCAAGGGGAGGUGAGAAUUGAUAGUAAUUACACUGUGUAAUUACAAGGUUGUUUUUUAGUUUCUUUCCUUUUUGUUUUUAUUUUAAUUUAUUUUCUUUAUAACUUUUUAUUUCUAUUAUUUUAACUUUUUAAUUUUAUUUUUACUUUUUAAUUUCUUUUGAAAUUUUAAAAUAUAUUUUCUUUGUACAUUAUUUAUCUUUUAUUUCUCUAUCUUUACUUCUCGUGAUUCCAUAUAAUUGCUUACUAUAUUUUAUUUUUUAUUUAUUUUAUUAUUUUGCUUUUUUAAACUACAUCUCGUAAUAUUAGAAAUAAUGAGUCAUUAACAAACUUGAUAUAAUGAGUGAUGCAAUUAAAGUGAAAUUUCGUUAUUAAAUGUGGUUAUAAACUUAUCAUGUUUCCUAGUUAUUAAGUUGCAACUUACUAUUAUUAUGUUGGAAUUUGACAUAUGUUAAACUAAUUUUUUUUUUUUUUUAAUUUUGAAAUUGUGUUAUAUUCGUGGUUCAAAUUUACUUAUUUUAGUAGUAUUGGCUCACAUUGAAUGUUGUUCAUUUUUUAGCUAGAUUUGAUAGAUUAGUUUUGUCAAACAUUUGAAUAAUGUUAUGACAUUAAAUUUGUAAAUUAAUUUAUUUUAUCAAACAUGAAUUCCAUGAUGUUCUUACAAAACGUAUAUUUUUUUAUUUUUGUAAGUAUCUAAACUAAAUAUUAUUAAUUUAAAAAAUAUAUAUAAAUUACAGUAUUAAUUAUAAAUAUACGAUUACUAAAUUAAUGUAUAUUCACGAAAAAAUAUACAUUAUAUUAACUUUUAAGUUUUGAUAAUUAUUUAAUUUAAAAUUUAAUCUAACUGUGUAAUUACACUUGUGCAACCAAACAGUAAACUUGUAAUUACACUAUGACAAACAAACAGGUUAUCGUAAUUACACAACUGUGUAAUUACCUCUAUUUUAAAAGGUAGAAUUGGGACUCGCCCUAGGGCAGUGCACUCGUAAAACGCCCCUGGGCUUAUAUGUGGGGUUUAGUUCCGUGAGACUUACGCAACGCCUUACGUAUUGGGCUCGCCUCAUAGAACUUUAUGCAAUUAUAUGCAACUAACCUUGUAAAUCCUCAAAUUUUCUUAAUAAAUCGUUAACUAUUCAAAAUUACUUUUUUCUUAAUCAUAAAUCAUUAACAUCAAGUCUUAGGCUAAUUUUCAGCAAGUAGGAGCAGUAAAGACAAAGUAACAAGGAAAUGAGCUAAACUUGGAUAUUUCCUUUUGCCCAUUGUUCUUUACUACAAGCAAGAAGCAACUAAAAGUUUUCUUUUUUCUUUUUGGAAAUCUUUAGCUUAUUUUAUAUAAAUAUAAAUAUAUAUACACACACAUAUUCUUGCAUGCAUGCAUCAAUUUCCGAGAUAACUUUAUGUAUGCGUCUUGCUAGGAAAUUGAAUUCUUGACCAUCCAAGUAGUAAGUUGUUUUCAAACCCAAUAAAUUAAAGAUUAAAAAAAGACUCUUCAGGAAUAAAUUAUACUACUACUGAUUUUAUUAAAUAUUCUUUAAUAAAAGAACCAAUUAAAUUUUGACAUAAGAAAAAAGCGACCCCACCUUGAGAAGGAAAAAAAAUCAAAAGAGAAAUGAUUUAUUACAUCUGAUUUUCUCCCACUUUGACUAGUAAGCAUACGCAAGUAGUAGUACUCGAGUUUGAGUCAAAGAAGAGGGGCUAGUUGAGUUUUAUCCCAAAAUACUACUAUAUCUUUUUGUUAGGACCGAAAAGUUUUAGGUGUCACGCGGAAUCUUACAAAACAAACCUUCAGCCACGAUAAAUCAGACAACAAAAGAGAAAUAUAUCAAAAGAGACACAAACAAUAUUUAACGUGAUUUGGCCAAUUGAUCUACAUUCACGGACGGAGAUGAGCAAUUCACUAUAUAAAAAGAGAGUAUAAAAUAUCGAGAGAACAACCUCACGAAGAGACAAACACAAGUGACACACUAACACUUGUCCCAUAACGUUCUCCCUUUAAACACGACUCUCAAACCACAUAUGGCUACAUUGUGGAUGCUGCUGAAUGAAAAGGACGAAUCUUCAAUUUAUAAAACUCAAAACUUUUUCCCACAAGAAAAGAGACUAGCCAAAUAUUGAAAAAGUAUACUUUCCCUCAAGUAAAAGAAAAACUCAAUUAUGGUAAAUAUGUUGUCCUUUCCUUCACGGGAUAGGAAAACCAAUUAUGAUAAAAAAAAAAUCUGGACAAACACCUAACAUCUUUGGCAUAUCCAUUAAGGAAAUAUGAACUCCUAAAGAAAAAAAGAUUAUUCACUAAAUUAAUCUUAAUAAUUAUUACCUUGACAUAUUGGAAUAUGUAAAUAAGGGCAAAUUAGAAAAAAUAAAAUUAAUACAUUCUUGAUUAUGUAAAUGGACACCUAUUUUGGACCAAACUAAAUGGACCGGAGGUAUAAUAAACAAAGGAAAAUAGGUGUUGCUACACUUAUUACAAAGCUUGUGGUCACCCCAGACAUUAAAUAGGUGUAUAUCAGUGGUGUGAAUGUGAUAUCUGAAGUUUUUCAUCCAAUAUAGUCUAAGAUAACAUAUUUAUAUACCCAUAUGACUGAGAUGAAGGGGUCGAAGUUUGUACUCACUAUAUAGACAAGUACAGAAGCUAAGGACGACAAAUAUCCUGUAAACAUACAACACGGUCACUUAAUUUUAACAAGAACAAAGAUCCAUAAAUCUUUAUCUGCUUUUGUUUCUUCUAGAAUUGUCAUUCUUGAUAUGAACAAAGAUCCAUGAAUGAUAGUGUUGUAUGGAUAUGCUCCAUUUGAAGGACUGAAGCUGGACCAACAAGAAGAUGGAUAUCCCAACUUAGGAGACUUUCUAGUAAAUGGAGCAGCAACAAUAAACACUGAGAAGACAUGUACAAUGAAGAGAUACACAGAGUUGUACUUGCAUGUUUUAUUAAUAAAAUAAUCUUUCUUUACAUUUGUCUUGUGAUGAUUGCAGUUAUUAAUUUCUGUAUACUAAAUUUGCCGUGAAUAGGAAGCUCAUCAAACUAAUAUGAUUGGUGGAAUAUGCCAAAAUGCCUAUGAUUCGAGUGAAAUGGAAAAUGCUAUCUAAACAUAUGUCUACCACUGGUACAGUUCAGCACUACCCAAUUUUUAAUACUUGAGCAUUCUCUCUUCAGAAAUGGAACUUCUAUAUUUCCUCGGUUAUAUUUUGUUUAAGUCUAGCUUUCACCAAGAUGCAAAUGAAACAUUAGAAAUCCAACAACAAGAGAUUUACUCAUACACACCACAACAAGAGAAUAGGAACUCGUAACGGAGGAAAUCAAGUAAACAGGCACAUUGGAACAUUAUGGUUAUGAGGCCCUUAGCUUUCCCUUCAGUAUUGCAAAGCAGACUCUUGAUAUCAUAUUGAGCCAAUUCUUCGAGUCCAUUAGAAUGUGAAGUAGGCAUUCCUCCAAGAACGGUUGACAAUUAAAGAGCCCAAGAUUCCCCAAAAUGCAACAAAGAAACCCAACACCAUGGAUAUAUAAAACUCUAGAGAUGGAAAAUCCUCACCAUCAUCAUCAUGUUCUUGGGGAUUCAUGUUACUGCUAUGAUCGAUACGUGGACUAGGAGGUGCAUAUCCGGGACAUUCUUGGAGAGGAGGGCCGCAGAGUUGAGCAUUACCACUAUAUGAUGAACUCUCAAAAGUUUGGAGUUGAGUGCUUGAUGGAAUUCUUCCUGAUAAGUGGUUGUUUGACAAGUCCAACACACUAAGAAAAGUCAAAUUAGCAAGGCCCUUAGGUAUCAUACCAGAAAGCUGGUUUCUUGAAAUGUCAAGUGACUCCAACAUCUUCAUUUGACCUAUUCCUUCAGUGAUACUUCCAUUCAGAUCAUUUCUUGAAAGGUUCAAAGAUUUCAAUCCUCUCAUUUCAGCUAUCUCUCUAGGAAUACCUCCGACCAAUUUAUUACUUGAAAGAUCAAUAGUCUUCAGAUAUAAUAAAGGAUUCUUGUACUCGGCCUCCUGGUUUUUCCAUUGAACCAAUAAAUUGCCUAUGUACAAGUAUGAACGAGGCAUAUAGUCAAACUGGACUAAAAAAUCCAUCGACUCACCAGAACCAUUUUCUUGAUGCAAUAUAGUAAAAUUGUUGAAGCAUUGUGGAAUUUUCCCAGAUAAUCCAUUUGCUGAAAGGUCCAGUAUCUGAAGAAAUUGAAGCUGACAAAUGAUCGAUGGAAUGCUACCAUAGAAUUUGUUGAACCGUAGGCUUAGAAUACGCAAGUUGAGUAGAUCAGUACCUAUCCAUGCUGGGAUUCUUCCUGUCAACUUAUUCCCUCCAAGAUCCAAGAUUUGCAAUAAUUGACACUGUGAGAAAGAAGGCAACAUCCCGCUAAAACUGUUCUGGCGUAUGUAUAAUGCCUUCAAAUUUUCCAAGGAACUUAAUGACUGUGGAAGUUUUCCAGAGAAAUUGUUAUAGGCUAGAUUAAGAACAGCUAGAUUACUCAUAUUCAUCCAACAAUCAGGAAGUUCUCCUGAAAAUUGGUUGUGUGACAAGUCAAGGGAAGUGGCACCUCCUGUUGUACUUUUACAAAUGGAAGAAGUGGAUCCGGAAAACUUAUUUUUAUGUAGGUAAAAUAUUCGCACAUUGGUAGGAACUUGUGGCAAAGGUCCUGAAAAGUUGUUAGAACUUAAAUCUAUAACCAUGUAGUCUUGUUUAUUCACUAUCAACUCAGAAACUCUUCCACUGAUCUGGUUGUUAGAGAGAUUCAGAAUCUUUAAAUUGAGAGGAAGAUCAGAGAACCAACUUGGUAGCGCAUCUGAUAGAUUUGCAAGCGAGAUAUCAAGAACAGUAUAGUUGUUUUGACUUUGAAGCCACUUGGGGAAAGAAGGUCCCAAAUUGCAAGAUGGAAGGUUUAUAAUUUGAAGCUGAAAAGGAGGAAGCCAAUCGAAGCUCGUCUUCAAAGCCAAAGAGUUGAAUGAUAAGUCCAAAUCCACUAAACUGGAGAGGUUUGAAAGGUGGGACUCAGUGAUUGUACCCUUCAGGACAUUGUAAGAGGCAUCAAGACUUUCCAAGUUUGAUAGUUGUCCCAUGCUUUCUGGUAAUCCUUCCAGUCUAUUGGACGAGACGUCCAAAAUUCUAAGCUGUGAAAGUUUUCCAAUACUUUGUGGUAUCCUCCCUUGAAAUUGAUUAGAUCCAAGAUGCAACUCUCUCAAUGAUGGAAACAAUGCUAAAUCUGGUAAUGGCCCUCUCAUUUGGUUAUCAGACAAGUCUAGAUACUCAAGACUCGAAACUUGUCCAAAUCUUUCCAUGAAAAAACCAUUCAGCACAUUGUUCUGCAGGUAUAAUCUCUUUAAGGCUGAAAAUCUUGUGACAUUAACCAAUGAACCAAACAUUGAGUUGUCGUUCAACCCCAAAACCUCAAGUGUUUUCCUACUGCCUGAUAACCUGAGAAACAACUCAGGAAGCCAUUGGUAUGUCCGAG